AGAAGGAAGUAUACUUUCCUCAAUAGAAAGGCUUGUUCAGUUUGUGUGCUUGCGUCUCUUCGUUCUUCGCGUGAUCUCCCCUCCCUCGCACUCUUCUACACGCUCUUCUCCCUCUGAACGCACAACGCACGCACGCAGUCACUCUUUCUCACUCGCCAUCGAGUGAUCUGCUCAGGGACAAGCACGCAGACAUAGGCGUGUAGAGAGAGUGAGAGAUGUCCUUCUUUAUCAACAAGACCUGUGACGUCUUCCCGCCUCGCCGCCGAGGUCAGUCCGACGGGGCGUUGCGCAAGGAACUAAACGCACGCGGCGCACCCCGUGACUCCGCCAUCAUCACCAAGACUGAACUGGAUAUAAUCCGCGGCAUGAUCGAUGGUCGCUUCCCUGGCAGUCUGAGCGGCACGGCCGCGACCGCGGUGGCCCCACGCACGCACACGGAAGCCGCCGAGGAACACCGUCGCCGCAUGCAGGAGUUUGACGCGGAACGCGCCCGAAACGGCGUGGCCCCGCGGACGGCAGAGGAGAUCGAGCAGGCGCAGCUCCGUCAGGUGAACCUGGAGAAGGCGCGGCUGAUGUUGGACGAGGAGUGCGAUGAGGUUAAGGCCAUGAAUCGUAUCAUCAUGGAGGCCAAGUGUGUCGCCACUCGCGAGGCGCAGCGACUGGAGAAGCAAAAGCGCAUCGAGGAGGAGACGGUGUACAACCGCCAGAUGGACGCCCUCAUGGCGCAGGAGGCGGAGACGGCACAGCAGGUGUACCUCGAGCGCGAGCGGCAGCGCAUGGAGGAGCAGCGGCGCAACGCUGCCAUGAUCAAGGCGCAGCUGCAUGAGCGGUAUGUAGAGCGGGUGCGCCGGCUGGAGCGACAUCAACAGGAGCAGGAUGCUAUGAGUCGCCACAUAGAGCGCCUGCAGGUGGAGGAGAAGGCGGAAAAGCUGCGCCGUAUCGAUGCGGCCCGGCGGCUGAUGGAGGAAGCCGCCAUCGCGAAUGCUGAGCAGAUCGCCCUGAAGCAGCGCGAAAGAGAGAUGGAGCUCGAGGAAGACCGGAAGAUGGCGGAGUACAUUAAGCAGAAGGAAGCACGCGAUGAGGCCUACGCUGAGGAGCAAGCCCGUCUUCGGCGCGAAAAGGAUAUGGAGAUCGCGCGGCUACGUGCGAACCAGCAGCGCGUGCAGGACAAGCAGGCUGAGCUGGAGGAGCUGCGGGUCCGCCGCGUUCAGGAGGCCUACAUACGUGAGGAGCGUCGAAAGGAGAAGGAGGCAGCGGAGCGGGAGAGCGCCAUGCAUGCCGACCUUCAGCAGGCCCGCCUCGCCCAGGUGGAGGAGCGCAACCGCCAAAAGGCUUUAGAGAAGGUGCAAGAGCAGGAGGAACUGGACCGCAUGCUGGCAGUGCAGAAGAUCAGUCGCGAACAGGAGCUCGAGCGCCAGGCCCGCACUCGCCGCCUGCAGGAGGAGAAUUCGCUAGCGUUGCUGAAGCAGAUGAUGGACGUCGAGGAGCGUCGCCGUCGUCAACGGCAGGAGGAGAUUGAAGAGGGCAACCAGCUCCGAAAGGCGGCACGUGAGCGGCAGGCAGCCCUGGAGGCAAUCCGUGACCGCAAGUUAGGCGAGCUGGAGGAGCUGGACGUGCCGGAGCAGUAUCGCCGGGCCCUCCUCAAGGUGGGCAAGUGAGCCCACACGCGGAGACCAGCGCGCUCGUGUGUGUGUGUGUGUGUGUGCGGGUGUGCGUGGGUGGAGGUGAGUACGUGUAGGUGGUUUGCUGAUGUGCCGAGGGCAGCUCUCUCUCUCUAUCUCCCCUUUUAGUGGUUUUGCGCUUCAUCAUCAUCUUCCACCUCUUCUUUUCCUCGCUAGUGACGACUUGCGCUCGCCGGUGCGACGCCGCUGCCACCCAUGUAAAUACCCGGUGCGCGCGUUCCAACAUAGAGCGAUAUGCUGGCCGGUGUGCCGGAGUCGUACGCUGUUAUGGAUGUAAACAAGGAACAAGGAACCAAGAGAGGGAGAGCGAGCGAGAUGAAAACGGCGAAGGGCGCCAGCCUCUGCUCCCGCGUGGCAUCGGCCCUUAGCGGGAGGAUGCGUCGAGAUGCUGAGGUCAAAGCACUAUGCCACACGAGUCGCUGCUCAUGCCCACCUUCCUCCGCCCCUCCGCCCCUCCCUCAUCCCUCACCCCUCAUCCCCCCCCCGCUGCCUCGUCCCUCUUUGCCCUCCCCCCUCUACCACGCACUGCGCGGUUCAG
RNAcentral lists this unclassified non-coding RNA (2220 nucleotides) under Leishmania donovani. Its description in RNAcentral is "gene:LdHU3.10.1600(CDS-product:Tumour_suppressor_ Mitostatin_putative)". Lineage: Eukaryota; Euglenozoa; Kinetoplastea; Trypanosomatida; Trypanosomatidae. The record is from RNAcentral.